RNAcentral lists this ribosomal RNA (484 nucleotides) under uncultured bacterium. RNAcentral describes it as "partial 16S ribosomal RNA". It matches the Rfam family "Bacterial small subunit ribosomal RNA", at positions 30 to 507 of the family's 1533-position model. The record is from RNAcentral.
AUUGAACGCUGGCGGCAGGCCUAACACAUGCAAGUCGAGCGGAUGAAGGGAGCUUGCUCCUGGAUUCAGCGGCGGACGGGUGAGUAAUGCCUAGGAAUCUGCCUGGUAGUGGGGGAUAACGUCCGGAAACGGGCGCUAAUACCGCAUACGUCCUGAGGGAGAAAGUGAGGGAUCUUCGGACCUCACGCUAUCAGAUGAGCCUAGGUCGGAUUAGCUAGUUGGUGGGGUAAAGGCCUACCAAGGCGACGAUCCGUAACUGGUCUGAGAGGAUGAUCAGUCACACUGGAACUGAGACACGGUCCAGACUCCUACGGGAGGCAGCAGUGGGGAAUAUUGGACAAUGGGCGAAAGCCUGAUCCAGCCAUGCCGCGUGUGCGAAGAAGGUCUUCGGAUUGUAAAGCACUUUAAGUUGGGAGGAAGGGAAGUAAGUUAAUACCUUGCUGUUUUGACGUUACCAACAGAAUAAGCACCGGCUAACUUCGUG